RNAcentral lists this ribosomal RNA (544 nucleotides) under uncultured bacterium. RNAcentral's name for it is "bacterial SSU rRNA". It matches the Rfam family "Bacterial small subunit ribosomal RNA", at positions 777 to 1320 of the family's 1533-position model. The record is from RNAcentral.
AAUAGAUACCCAGGUAGUCCACGCCGUAAACGAUGAGUGCUAAGUGUUAGGGGGUUUCCGCCCCUUAGUGCUGCAGCUAACGCAUUAAGCACUCCGCCUGGGGAGUACGGUCGCAAGACUGAAACUCAAAGGAAUUGACGGGGGCCCGCACAAGCGGUGGAGCAUGUGGUUUAAUUCGAAGCAACACGAAGAACCUUACCAGGUCUUGACAUCCCAUUGACCACUAUGGAGACAUAGUUUUCCCUUCGGGGACAACGGUGACAGGUGGUGCAUGGUUGUCGUCAGCUCGUGUCGUGAGAUGUUGGGUUAAGUCCCGCAACGAGCGCAACCCUUGUUCUUAGUUGCCAUCAUUUAGUUGGGCACUCUAAGGAGACUGCCGGUGACAAACCGGAGGAAGGUGGGGAUGACGUCAAAUCAUCAUGCCCCUUAUGACCUGGGCUACACACGUGCUACAAUGGACGGUACAAACGGUUGCCAACCCGCGAGGGGAGCUAAUCCGAUAAAACCGUUCUCAGUUCGGAUUGUAGGCUGCAACUCGCCUACA